This is a long non-coding RNA of Rana temporaria (common frog), 209 nucleotides long. RefSeq lists it as uncharacterized. The transcript has 3 exons. Lineage: Eukaryota; Metazoa; Chordata; Amphibia; Anura; Ranidae. The record is from RefSeq and is a predicted model, not a curated record.
CUGACCGGAGAGAAUUAUAUAGCUUUCAAGUUAUCAGAUGGUUUGGUGGCAUCCAACUUAUUGAAGACUCAAAGCCCAGUUAUAGAGCCUCCAUCUCACUCCCAAAGACAGAAGAACAAGAAGGUCAAAGAAGUCACCAGUGAGAUCAUAGAGCUGUUGACGGGAGAGGUUCCUAUAAGGUGCCAGGAUGUCACUGUCUAUUUCUCCAU